Molecule: ribosomal RNA, 253 nt
Filed under: uncultured bacterium
Lineage: Bacteria
Description: partial 16S ribosomal RNA
Rfam family: Bacterial small subunit ribosomal RNA
Source: RNAcentral
GACGUAGGGCGCGAGCGUUGUCCGGAUUUAUUGGGCGUAAAGAGCUCGUAGGCGGCUUGUCGCGUCGACCGUGAAAACUUGGGGCUCAACCCCAAGCCUGCGGUCGAUACGGGCAGGCUCGAGUUCGGUAGGGGAGACUGGAAUUCCUGGUGUAGCGGUGAAAUGCGCAGAUAUCAGGAGGAACACCGGUGGCGAAGGCGGGUCUCUGGGCCGAUACUGACGCUGAGGAGCGAAGGCGUGGGGAGCGAACAGG